Cygnus atratus (black swan) is the source of this 1007-nucleotide long non-coding RNA. RefSeq lists it as uncharacterized. The transcript is spliced from 7 exons. NCBI's taxonomy places the organism in Eukaryota, Metazoa, Chordata, Aves, Anseriformes, Anatidae. The record is from RefSeq and is a predicted model, not a curated record.
AGCUGACCCCUAAAGGUGGACCUGUCUCCUCGGGGAGCGUGUUGCAGGCAGACGUAAAGAAAUCUUGCAACAGGUCAAAGCAGCAGCCUGCCAGGAAAGCAACUGUGACUUGGGAAUAGAGAAACUAUCUCUGCCCGCAGAUGCUGCUGCGUGUUCCUGCUGAAGUUUUCCACGCUGCUGAUCUCCCUCCACCUGCUCUGGGUUAUCUCCUGCAUGCUUUUGUCCAGGUAGCCGGAAGUGCAGACUGCUGGGCUGCUGCUCGCAGGAGGAAUCCCUCCGACUUCAGCAAAGCUGCCCUGCUAGGGAUGGAUGGUUCUCCAAGGGGAAGGAAGGGAGGAAGAGGCUGUGGGAUGCUUGCUUAAUUCUGCGCUGAGGUGGAGCAGAGAAAGCUCGAGGGAUGCUGAUAGCGCUGCACUCGCCAGCCAGAUUUUCAAAAGAGCCCAGUUUGCUGACAUAAAUGGGGUUGCUGAUGUGCCGAAAGAGAAGGAAGUGCUGGAGAACACAUUCCUCGCUGGGUGCAUGAAGAACUCAGAAAAUUGGAAGGAAGAUACAGAGAAUAUAGAAGCUGACCCAACUGGAAAUUUUUUGGGGAAAAAGAAUGGAAGACAUGCAGCAUCUCACCUUGCAGCAGUGGCCCGCAAGCUGCCCAGCCCCUCUGAGUGAUUCAAGGUGCGAUUCCCUGGGGAUCACGCUGCUAUCCACAGCAUCAGAGAUACCCACAGGAGCAUCUGGCAGGAGCCAGCUCUUUUUUCUUCAACUCUGAAAUUAGCCUUCAGGAUUGUGUGUGGGGUGGUGACCCAGCGUGGCUCAGGACCAGCUGCCUCCGAUAGACAUGUGUCUUCAGCACUGUGUUGUCUGCGAGGGAGAAAAGCUGGUAAGGUGCCCUGCUUUGCAUGUGGCUGAAAGAAAUGCGUAGACAUGAGAGAUGCCCAUAGGCAGUUUGGCUGGUUUAAAAACAGCACGGGGAAAGAGGCUAGUCAUAGUUACACCAAUAAAAGCCAUGGAGG